UAGCAGUAUCUCUGCGAAAAUCCAUAGAAGUAUCGGAACCGGCUGUGGAUAUGGGAAAAAGAAAAUCCCUAAAAUGCAUCUCUGAAACAAUGGCAUUUUUUCAGUGAAUGAACUAAGGAUAGCAGGUGCCACUGUUCCAGAUUGUACUAAUUCUCUGAAAAUUGAUUUGUUUUUCUGUAGCAAGUUGUCGUAUGAAUUUCAAAAAGGAACUAUUCUCUGAAAAUUGUUUCGUAUUUCUGUAGCAAUUUAUUGUAUAGAUUCUGAACACUGUUCAAGGAAAUCAGCAGCUGCCAUUGUUCGGAGAAUGAGCUAAUUCUCUGAAAAUCGUUUUGUUUUUCUGUAGCAAGUUAAUGUAUGAAAUCUGAAUUUGUUCAAAGAAAUCAGCAGCUGCCCUUAUUUUACAUCAGUUUACCCCCUCUUAGUAGAAAGGAACAACUCAUUUCUCUCGCUACUCCUAAUUUUGUGUUUGUGCUUUUGUGCAGGAGGAGGAAUUGAUUCUCAGACCACAAAAACAACAGAACAACAGGGAUGAUAUUCAGGUUUACAUAUCUCCAUAGGGAAUCGGAACCGGCUGUGGAUGUGGGAAAAAGAAAAUCCCUAAAUGCAUCUCUGAAACAAUGGCAUUUUUUCAGUGAAUGAACUAAGACUAGCAGUUCAUUUUUAUUCUGUUGGGGGAAUCUAUUUUGGACGAAAUUCUGAACACUUUUCAAUGUGAUAGCAGCUGCCACUAUCUCAAGAAUGUACUAUUUCUCUGAAAAUCGCUUUGUUUUUCUGUAGCAAGUUGUCAUAUGAAUUCUGACAGCAAACUGUCAUUUGUUCAAGAAGGAAUUAUUUUCUGAAUUUUUUUUGUAUUUCUGUAGCAAUUUAUUGUAUGAAUUCUGAACACUGUGCAAGGAAAUCAGCAGCUGCCAUUGUUCAGAGAAUGAGCUAAUUCUCUGAACAUCGCUUUGUUUUUC
This 956-nucleotide long non-coding RNA is filed under the name Triticum aestivum (bread wheat). Its description in RNAcentral is "long non-coding RNA (TAES_LNC019088)". The record is from RNAcentral. Lineage: Eukaryota; Viridiplantae; Streptophyta; Magnoliopsida; Poales; Poaceae.